CUAAAGGCUUCAUUCUAAGCCAUACACGUUAAUAAAACAGUUUUUU
This is a non-coding RNA of Oryzias latipes (Japanese medaka), 46 nucleotides long. The record is from Rfam. Lineage: Eukaryota; Metazoa; Chordata; Actinopteri; Beloniformes; Adrianichthyidae.